This 372-nucleotide ribosomal RNA is filed under the name uncultured soil bacterium. RNAcentral describes it as "bacterial SSU rRNA". It matches the Rfam family "Bacterial small subunit ribosomal RNA", at positions 26 to 398 of the family's 1533-position model. The record is from RNAcentral.
AGAUUGAACGCUGGCGGCAUGCCUUACACAUGCAAGUCGAACGGCAGCACGGGAGCAAUCCUGGUGGCGAGUGGCGAACGGGUGAGUAAUAUAUCGGAACGUGCCCAGUCGUGGGGGAUAACGCAGCGAAAGCUGUGCUAAUACCGCAUACGAUCUAUGGAUGAAAGCGGGGGAUCGGCAAGACCUCGCGCGAUUGGAGCGGCCGAUAUCAGAUUAGCUAGUUGGUGGGGUAAAAGCCUACCAAGGCGACGAUCUGUAGCUGGUCUGAGAGGACGACCAGCCACACUGGAACUGAGACACGGUCCAGACUCCUACGGGAGCAGCAGUGGGGAAUUUUGGACAAGUGGGCGCAAGCCUGGAUCCAGCAAUGCC